This 445-nucleotide ribosomal RNA is filed under the name uncultured bacterium. RNAcentral describes it as "partial 16S ribosomal RNA". It matches the Rfam family "Bacterial small subunit ribosomal RNA", at positions 354 to 796 of the family's 1533-position model. The record is from RNAcentral.
GUGAGGAAUAUUGGUCAAUGGGCGAGAGCCUGAACCAGCCAAGUCGCGUGAAGGAUGAAAGUUUUAUGAAUUGUAAACUUCUUUUGCAGGGGAAUAAAGUACGGUACGUGUACCGUUUUGUAUGUACUCUGCGAAUAAGGAUCGGCUAACUCCGUGUCAGCAGCCGCGGUAAUAAGGAGGAUCCAAGCGUUAUCCGGAUUUAUUGGGUUUAAAGGGUGCGCAGGCGGGUUGAUAAGUCAGCGGUGAAAGUUUGCAGCUUAACUGUAAAAUUGCCGUUGAAACUGUCGAUCUUGAGUGCAAAUGAGGUAAGCGGAAUGUGUUGUGUAGCGGUGAAAUGCUUAGAUAUAACACAGAACACCGAUUGCGAGGGCAGCUUACUGGGAUGCAACUGACGCUCAUGCACGAAAGCGUGGGGAUCAAACAGGAUUAGAAACCCGUGUAGUCC